Molecule: long non-coding RNA, 231 nt
Organism: Oxyura jamaicensis (ruddy duck)
Lineage: Eukaryota; Metazoa; Chordata; Aves; Anseriformes; Anatidae
Exons: 2
Source: RefSeq, a predicted model, not a curated record
GACAAAUAUGGUCUAUGUAACAUGAAGUGGUCCAGCAUGCUCCCAAUCUGCCAAAGGCCAGAAAACGUGACCUUCCUUUUAAGACCGUACAGAAAAGAAAACCAACAAUGACAAAAAGUAAGAGAAGGAACUUUUCCUUCACCUAAAUUUUAUUAUUUUGCAACUCCCUCAGGUUUCACACCAGAAGACAUUCUUCUCACUGAAGUACAGUUAAGCCCCACAAAGUGCCAA